This 1428-nucleotide ribosomal RNA is filed under the name uncultured Bordetella sp. Its description in RNAcentral is "partial 16S-23S ribosomal RNA intergenic spacer". It matches the Rfam family "Bacterial small subunit ribosomal RNA". The record is from RNAcentral. Lineage: Bacteria; Pseudomonadati; Pseudomonadota; Betaproteobacteria; Burkholderiales; Alcaligenaceae.
AGUUUGAUCAUGGCUCAGAUUGAACGUUGGUAUGUUUACGACAUGCAAGUCGAACGCACGGAAGACUUCGGUCUGGUGGCGAGUGGCGAACGGGUGAGAAUGGUAUCGGAACGUGCCUAGUAGCGGAUAAUCAAGCGCGAGCAGAAGACAUCGCAGCGAUUGCCCCUUCGGGAAAGCGGGGACCUUCGGGCCUCGCACUAUUAGAGCGCUGAUAUCGGAUUAGUUGGUGGGGCAACGGCUCACCAAGGCGACGAUCCGUAGCUGGUUUGAGAGGGCGACCAGCCACACUGGGACCAGACACGGCCCAGACUCCUACGGGAGGCAGCAGUGGAAUUUUACCGCUAGGAAACCUGAUCCAGCCAUCCCGCGUGUGCGACAAAGGCCUUCGGGUUGUAAAGCGCUGGUAGAAGAACGCAUGGAGCACACCGCAAUCUGACGGUACUGCAGAAUAAGCACCGGCGAAUCGAUGCGGCCAGCAUGUACGGUGUUAAUCGGAAUUACUGGCAAAGCGUGCGGCGGUUCGGAAAGAAAGAUGUGAAAUCCUGAGCUUAACUUUGGAACUGCAUUUUUAACUACCGAGCUAGAGUGUGUCAGGAGGGAGGUGGAAUUCCAGCGCGGGUGUAGCAGUGAAAUGCGUGGAUAUGCGGAGGAACACCGAUGGCGGCAGCCUCUCCUGAUAACACUGACGCUCAUGCACGAAAGCGUGGGGAGCAAACAGAUGCAGAUACCCUGGUAGUCCACGCCCCUAAACGAUGUCAACUAGCUGUUGGGGCUUCGGCCUGCAGCGCAGCUAACGCGUGAAGUUGACCGCCUGUGAGUACGGUCGCAAGAUUGAAACUCAAAGGAAUGUUGGAUGGGGACCCGCACAGCGGUGGAUGAUGUGGAUUAACGAUGCAACGCGAAAACCUUACCUACCCUUGUGACAUGUCUGAAUCCCGAAGAGAUUUGGGAGUGCCCGCAAGAGAGUCCGGAACGCAGGUGCUGUAAUGGCUGGCCCGUCAGCCGUACUGAGAUGUUGGGUUAAGUCCCGCAACGAGCGCAACCCUUGUCAUUAGUUGCUUUAGUGGGCACUGACGAGGAUUGCCGGUGACAAACCGGAGGAAGGUGGGGAUGACGUCAAGUCCUCAUGGCCCUAUGUAGCUUCACACGUCAUACACGGUCAUGGGACAGAGGGUCGCCAACCCGCAGCGAGGGGGAGCCAAUCCCGCAGAAACCCUUGGAUCGUAGUCCGGAUCGCAGUCUGCAACUCGACUGCGUGAAGUCGGAAUCGCUAAUCGCGGAUCAGCAUGUCGCGGUGAAUACGCCUCGUCUGUACACACCGCCCGUCACACCAUGGGGAGUGGGUUUUACCAGAAGUAGUUAGCUCAACCGUAAGGAGGGCGAUUACCACGGCAGGGAUCAUGAUCAGGUGAAGUCGUAACAAGGUAA